ACAAGCGGAGGAGCAUGUGGUUUAAUUCGAUGAUACGCGAGGAACGUUACCUGGGCGUCGAACGUAAGAUGACUGUAGGUGAAAGCUUACAUCUCUUCGGAGCAUUUUACGAGGUGCUGCAUGGUUGUCGUCAGCUCGUGCCGUGAGGUGUCGGGUUAAGUCCCAUAACGAGCGCAACCCCUACCUUUAGUUGCCAUCAGGUAAUGCUGGGGACUCUAAAGGAACUGCCUACGCAAGUAGUGAGGAAGGCGGGGAUGACGUCAAAUCAGCACGGCCCUUACGUCCAGGGCUACACACGUGCUACAAUGGCCGAUACAGAGGGCAGCUACCUGGUGACAGGAUGCAAAUCUCCAAAGUCGGUCUCAGUUCGGAUCGGAGUCUGCAACCCGACUCCGUGAAGUUGGAUUCGCUAGUAAUCGCGCAUCAGCCAUGGCGCGGUGAAUACGUUCCCGGGCCUU
Molecule: ribosomal RNA, 458 nt
Filed under: uncultured Sphingobacteriales bacterium
Lineage: Bacteria; Pseudomonadati; Bacteroidota; Sphingobacteriia; Sphingobacteriales
Description: bacterial SSU rRNA
Rfam family: Bacterial small subunit ribosomal RNA
Source: RNAcentral